AAUGUUGGAAAAGCAGCAAGCAGCUAGCCAAACUCCUCAAAUUCGUAAUAGUUUGAGUGGUUUCGGCAUCUAGUGGCAAUCAGUGUCGCACUAAGGAAGUGAUAAUCUAAUUGAUAAACUCAGGUGGAUAGAUCCGGCAACUUGAAUUAGGUUCUUCUAGUUCUCAAGAUUGUUGACAAGUUAAAUCCUAUGGACAUUCUCAAGACUCUUUGGCAACGAAGAACCAACUAACGAAUGUUUCUUGGUUAGUUUAGAAAUAAGGAAGGAUUGGUUGUCAGAAUGUUUUUGACAACUAUAACUUGUUUUCUAUAACUUAAACAAAAUAAAUCAUUACAUCUAUGAU
RNAcentral lists this long non-coding RNA (343 nucleotides) under Carica papaya (papaya). RNAcentral describes it as "long non-coding RNA (CPAP_LNC015851)". The record is from RNAcentral. Lineage: Eukaryota; Viridiplantae; Streptophyta; Magnoliopsida; Brassicales; Caricaceae.